Molecule: ribosomal RNA, 484 nt
Filed under: uncultured bacterium
Lineage: Bacteria
Description: partial 16S ribosomal RNA
Rfam family: Bacterial small subunit ribosomal RNA
Source: RNAcentral
AUUGAACGCUGGCGGCAGGCCUAACACAUGCAAGUCGAGCGGAUGAAGGGAGCUUGCUCCUGGAUUCAGCGGCGGACGGGUGAGUAAUGCCUAGGAAUCUGCCUGGUAGUGGGGGAUAACGUCCGGAAACGGGCGCUAAUACCGCAUACGUCCUGAGGGAGAAAGAGGGGGAUCUUCGGAACUCACGCUCUCAGAUGAGCCUAGGUCGGAUUAGCUAGUUGGUGGGGUAAAGGCCUACCAAGGCGACGAUCCGUAACUGGUCUGAGAGGAUGAUCAGUCACACUGGAACUGAGACACGGUCCAGGCUCCUACGGGAGGCAGCAGUGGGGAAUAUUGGGCAAUGGGCGAAAGCCUGAUCCAGCCAUGCCGCGUGUGUGAAGAAGGUCUUCGGAUUGUAAAGCACUUUAAGUUGGGAGGAAGGGCAGUAAGUUAAUACCUUGCUGUUUUGACGUUACCAACAGAAUAAGCACCGGCUAACUUCGUG